RNAcentral lists this ribosomal RNA (301 nucleotides) under uncultured bacterium. Its description in RNAcentral is "partial 16S ribosomal RNA". It matches the Rfam family "Bacterial small subunit ribosomal RNA", at positions 509 to 808 of the family's 1533-position model. The record is from RNAcentral.
CAGCAGCACGGGAAUACAGAGGGUGCGAGCGUUAAUCGGAUUUACUGGGCGUAAAGCGUGCGUAGGCGGCUUCUUAAGUCGGAUGUGAAAUCCCUGAGCUUAACUUAGGAAUUGCAUUCGAUACUGGGAAGCUAGAGUAUGGGAGAGGAUGGUAGAAUUCCAGGUGUAGCAGUGAAAUGCGUAGAGAUCGGAAGGAACAUCUGUGGCGAAGGCGACUAUCUGGGCCAACACUGACACUGAGGCACGAAAGCGUGGGGAGCAAACAGGAUUAGAUACCCCAGUAGUCCCUGUCUCUUAUACA